RNAcentral lists this non-coding RNA (67 nucleotides) under unclassified sequences. Its description in RNAcentral is "DUF3800-VIII RNA". It matches the Rfam family "DUF3800-VIII RNA". Rfam says of the family: Bacteroidetes, Cyanobacteria, Firmicutes, Planctomycetes (1 example), Proteobacteria, Tenericutes (1 example). Nearby to DUF3800 The record is from Rfam by way of RNAcentral.
GGCAUCCUGCUCCCUUCGAAGCCUUGCGUUCCUACGCGAGGGGUUGAUGUAGAAGAAGCGGGAUGCU